UGGGGAAUAUUGCGCAAUGGGCGAAAGCCUGACGCAGCAACGCCGCGUGAGGGAUGACGGCCUUCGGGUUGUAAACCUCUUUCAGCGCUGACGAAGCCUUCGGGUGACGGUAGGCGCAGAAGAAGCACCGGCUAACUACGUGCCAGCAGCCGCGGUAAUACGUAGGGUGCGAGCGUUGUCCGGAAUUAUUGGGCGUAAAGGGCUCGUAGGCGGCUUGUCACGUCUGCUGUGAAAGCCCGGGGCUUAACUCCGGGUCUGCAGUGGAUACGGGCAGGCUAGAGUCCGGCAGGGGAGACUGGAAUUCCUGGUGUAGCGGUGGAAUGCGCAGAUAUCAGGAGGAACACCGGUGGCGAAGGCGGGUCUCUGGGCCGGUACUGACGCUGAGGAGCGAAAGCGUGGGGAGCGAACA
RNAcentral lists this ribosomal RNA (409 nucleotides) under uncultured Haloactinopolyspora sp. RNAcentral's name for it is "bacterial SSU rRNA". It matches the Rfam family "Bacterial small subunit ribosomal RNA", at positions 355 to 774 of the family's 1533-position model. Lineage: Bacteria; Bacillati; Actinomycetota; Actinomycetes; Jiangellales; Jiangellaceae. The record is from RNAcentral.